GAGGGUAUAGGUCGAAGUGGUAGAGCACAUGCUUAGCAUGCACGAGGCCCUGGGUUCGAUCCCCAGUACCUCCU
Molecule: transfer RNA, 74 nt
Filed under: Camelus bactrianus (Bactrian camel)
Lineage: Eukaryota; Metazoa; Chordata; Mammalia; Artiodactyla; Camelidae
Also listed under: 2 other names
Rfam family: tRNA
About the family: Transfer RNA (tRNA) molecules are approximately 80 nucleotides in length. Their secondary structure includes four short double-helical elements and three loops (D, anti-codon, and T loops).
Source: Rfam by way of RNAcentral